GAUGAACGCUAGCGAUAGGCUUAACACAUGCAAGUCGAGGGGCAGCACGGUGUAGCAAUACACUGGUGGCGACCGGCGUACGGGUGCGUAACACGUAUGCAACCUACCCGCUAUUGGGGGAUAACCCGGCGAAAGUCGGACUAAUAUCCCAUAUUAUUCUUACCGGGCAUCCGGUGAGUCUGAAAGAUUUAUCGAUUGCGGAUGGGCAUGCGGAUGAUUAGCUAGUAGGUGGGGUAACGGCUCACCUAGGCGACGAUCAUUAGGGGUUCUGAGAGGAAGGUCCCCCACACUGGAACUGAGACACGGUCCAGACUCCUACGGGAGGCAGCAGUGAGGAAUAUUGGUCAAUGGGCGCUAGCCUGAACCAGCCAAGUCGCGUGAAGGAUGACAGAUCUAUGGUUUGUAAACUUCUUUUGCAGGGGAGUAAAGUGCGACACGUGUGUUGUAUUGCAAGUACCCUGCGAAUAAGCAUCGGCUAACUCCGUGCCAG
RNAcentral lists this ribosomal RNA (490 nucleotides) under uncultured bacterium. Its description in RNAcentral is "bacterial SSU rRNA". It matches the Rfam family "Bacterial small subunit ribosomal RNA", at positions 28 to 511 of the family's 1533-position model. The record is from RNAcentral.